This 73-nucleotide transfer RNA is filed under the name Chlorobiota bacterium. RNAcentral describes it as "tRNA-Lys". It matches the Rfam family "tRNA". Rfam says of the family: Transfer RNA (tRNA) molecules are approximately 80 nucleotides in length. Their secondary structure includes four short double-helical elements and three loops (D, anti-codon, and T loops). The record is from RNAcentral. Lineage: Bacteria; Pseudomonadati; Chlorobiota.
GCCUCUGUAGCUCAGUUGGUAGAGCAGCUGACUCUUAAUCAGUUGGUCGAGGGUUCGAAUCCUUCCGGGGGCA